This 301-nucleotide ribosomal RNA is filed under the name uncultured bacterium. RNAcentral's name for it is "partial 16S ribosomal RNA". It matches the Rfam family "Archaeal small subunit ribosomal RNA", at positions 459 to 759 of the family's 1478-position model. The record is from RNAcentral.
CAGCAGCCGCGGUAACACCAGCAGCCCAAGUGGUGGUCGCGAUUAUUGGGCCUAAAGCGCUCGUAGCCGGGCCGGUAAGUCCCUUGUGAAACCGGACGGCCUAACCGUUCGGCGUGCAAGGGAUACUGUCGGUCUUGAGGCCGGGAGACGUCCGAGGUACUCCGGGGGUAGCGGUGAAAUGUUCUGAUCCUCGGGGGACCACCGGUGGCGAAGGCGUUCGACGAGAACGGGCCUGACGGUGAGGGGCGAAGGCUAGGGGAGCAAACGGGAUUAGAUACCCGGGUAGUCCCUGUCUCUUAUA